AAAGGGAGACCUAAUUCAGGUAGGAGACGAAAAAAAAGUAGUCCCUACCAAGAAUCAAUCCCAAAAGGUCGGAACGAGGUAUGAGGCUUUCAAACUAGGUUCUGGGUUCAUAAAAGACCUGAAUCAGGAACAAGGGCUAUUAGCUCAGGUGGUUAGAGCGCACCCCUGAUAAGGGUGAGGUCCCUGGUUCGAGUCCAGGAUGGCCCACCUGCACAGGUGGCAAAAACAAGAGAAGCGAGGAAUCAGCACCUUAUCUUAUAUACAUAUAUAAGAGAGAAUGCUGGCUCUGAGUACAGAGUCCAGAGGAACCCUGAAAACUGCAUAGAGCUAGGUGAAAAAGCCAAAAAAGAAGACCGCAAG
Molecule: transfer RNA, 360 nt
Filed under: uncultured Microcystis sp.
Lineage: Bacteria; Bacillati; Cyanobacteriota; Cyanophyceae; Chroococcales; Microcystaceae
Description: partial 16S-23S ribosomal RNA intergenic spacer
Rfam family: tRNA (bases 134-207)
Source: RNAcentral